Photinus pyralis (common eastern firefly) is the source of this 2647-nucleotide long non-coding RNA. RefSeq lists it as uncharacterized. The transcript has 3 exons. NCBI's taxonomy places the organism in Eukaryota, Metazoa, Arthropoda, Insecta, Coleoptera, Lampyridae. The record is from RefSeq and is a predicted model, not a curated record.
GAAACAUAUGUACAUACCAUUUCUGCUCUUCCAUCUAACCCAUGUGAUUCCGUUCAUUAACAGAAAAUACAAAAAAAAAAAAAAAUAAUAUAUCUAUUGUUCGUGCAAUAACCUCGACAUGGUAGCUAAUCUAAAUGUUUUGUAAGGCAUGCUUUUGAUGUCCAUAGCUAGGGAAUUAUACCAUUUGCUGAUGUUGUAGGUAAAAGAUCUUUCAUACAUAGCUGUGGCGUGCGAGGGAGGUGUAAGCAAACCUUUGUUUCUCAAAUUUAGCGUAUGUACAUCAGUUCUGUAUUUUAAUUUGCGGUAUAAAUAGGUGGGUUGAUUAUUAACUAAAAUUUUAUAAUACGUGCUAGCAGCAUGUCCAGCUCUCCUAUUAUGCAUAUUUAACCAUUUUAGAUCGAUCAACUUGUGACUUACAUGAUCAUAUUUCCUCAUUCCGAAAAUCAAUCUCACACAACUAUUUUGUACUUUCUGCACACGUUUGUUAUCAAAACUAGUUAAACAAGGACCAUAUACUACAUCCGCGUGGUCAAAUUGUGACAAAACCAAAGAGGAGCAGAGAAGCACACGAGUAGACCAAUCCAAGCAAUUCCGCAUAUGAUAUAUCGUUUUAAGCGACGCAUAAGAUUUUCUAAGACAAGAUGAGAUGUGUGGUGUAAAUCUUAGAGCGGAGUCAAUAUCAACACCAAGAUUCCUAACCGUGUCAGCUAGUGGUAUCAGAGUCCCACAACAAGUUACCUUGAUGUCAUUCAAAGACUUGAGUCGAUCGGUUUUUUUACCAAACAAUAUCGCCAUGCAUUUGGUUGGAUUUAACUGUAGACAGUGCUUAAUGGAAAACUAUUCAAUGUUAUACAAGUCAUAAUUGAUAGCCGCUAUUGCUUGUUGAACUUCGGUUGGAUAGAAGGAUAAAUACAAUUGAGUGUCAUCUGCAUAGCAGUGUAAUGUAGACGAGGAGGAAUAUAAGUGCAUUUGAGAAACAUAUAUACAAAACAACAUAGGGCCUAGUACGGACCCCUGCGGGACUCCAUUUAGUACGGUUUGGUAGGAGGACAAUUGAUUUUCAUAUUUCACAGCUUGCGUCCUGAACGAUAGUAUUGAAACGAGGAGUUGGUGGUUCAGCAUAUCGAAUGCCUUGGUAAAGUCUAAUAGCACCAAAAGUGACAACUUGCCGAGAUCACUAGCCGUUAAUAUGUCUUCAGUUAUCUUUAACAGCGCAGUAGUGCAGCUGUGGUUAGGUCUAAAGCCAGAUUGGCACUCCGGAACACUUUGGAAAGUACGGGCAAAACACUAAUGGGACGAAUAUGUUUAAAGUCAGUCACCUCAGAGGUUUUGCGUAUAGGGACAACAAUUGCUGGUUUCCAGGAUGAAGGAAAUACCCCAUUACGCAUGCAGUAAUUGUAGAUGUGCGUUAAAUAUGGUAACAAAAAGGGAAGACAUAAACGAAUAGUUAAAAUAUUAACGCCGUCAUAUCCAACAGCUUUACUUUUAAUGCCCAUAAUAGUAUUUAGCACAGUGACUUCAUCAACCGCCCUAAAAGUAAAUUCUGUGCAAUUUUCCUAACACCUGUUAUUAUUGUAAAAUAGCAAUAAAUCCUUAUCAGGUUGUAAUGAAGCAGUGGACUGCAGAAAGUGAUUAUUCAGAGCUUCCACAUCAGUAAAAUGAUCCGGCAAGAUGACAUUAUUAUUGGACCUAAUAUUAAGUUUUCUGAUUUCUUGCCACAUCCUCCUGCUAUCGGAAGCACUUAGCACUGUUUUGUAAUAAGCCUUUUUUUCCUUAGCAAUAGCAGAAUUGACGUAGUUGCUUGUAAGACACCCAGUCUACCUCCAGUUUACAACGUUUAUAGCGAGAUAGUGCAUUGUCUCUAGUUCUCAUCAUUUCCUGAAUGCAUGGCGUUAACCAAGGAGCAAACUUUUUGGUAAUGCGAUAGGUCCUGAAUGGAGCAAACACAUUUAAAAGAAUUUCCAAAUUAUGAUUAAGAAAAUUAAUCUUGCUGUCAACAUCUGGCAGAUCAUACAUUACCUUCCAAGGGAUAGCACGUAAAUGAUCGUAAAAUGCUGUGCGAUUAAAAUUUCUAAAAUCACGCGCAGUUUUAAAAACUGGUUUGCGACUCAAACCUUUAAAAGUAAGAAAGCACGAUACCAACUCAUGGUCACUUAUGUGGGAUACAUUAUCAACCCUCACCAUCGUGACGUGCUCAGGGUUAGUGACUAAAAUGUAAUCUAUGAGGGUAAUUGACUGGUCUGUAAUUCUAGUGGGCUCUGUAAUUAGUUGGGUUAAUCCCAAUCCUUGGAACGUAUUGAGGGCAGUUAGGGCACAUGUAUCGAGAGGUGGAAGUAAGUUAAAAUCGCCUAAACAAUAUAUCUCAUCGGCGCAUGUUAAGACUUCAGCUACUGAGGACUCAAAAACAUUGAAAAAAUCGGUAUAAGAUGCAGUUGGAGCUCUGUACAUAACUGCUAUAGCUAAAUUGGUACGAUUUAAGCGAAUUUUAACCCAAAGCUGUUCGAUAUCCUUUGAUGAAUUUAUAAUGGUAGGAUUGUACUUACUCAAUACAUAAAGUGCUACACCUCCCCCACGACUACCUCUAUCUUGAAAUAGACAAUCAAUUUUCCAAGCAAUUUUCUGAAAACUCCUACGUGCUUAAAGUUCA